CUGCUGACUUCAGCAGCACAUAUACUAAAAAUUGGAAUGAUAACAGAGAAGAUUAUCAUGGCCCCUGCACAAGGAUGACAUGCAAAUUCUUGAAGUGUUCCAUAUUUGU
Molecule: small nuclear RNA, 109 nt
Filed under: Chinchilla lanigera (long-tailed chinchilla)
Lineage: Eukaryota; Metazoa; Chordata; Mammalia; Rodentia; Chinchillidae
Source: RNAcentral